GGGUGUGUAAUUUAUGUUGUUGAUGAUUCAUUUUCAUUUGCUAGAACUACAGUUAUAUUCAGUUUACAUGGACGUAACAAAUAGAAGUGAAUUAUGUAACAGUGUUAUUCAUUGAACGCUCGUCGUUGAAAUAACAUCGAUUCGAGAUAUUACGAGUAUAAAUGAAGUGAGUGAUUAUAUACACAUAUGUAGGUAACCAGUUAUACAAUUGUUAAAAAUUUGUUUCCCAACAUUUGCAUCAACAGCUGAUAGAGGAUCAUCAACUUUCUGGCCACCACUUAAAAGGAUUCCACGUUCCCCUACUAUCGUGUUAUCACCAUGAGGAAACUGUACCAUGUCGUCUU
This is a long non-coding RNA of Zophobas morio, 344 nucleotides long. RefSeq lists it as uncharacterized. The record is from RefSeq and is a predicted model, not a curated record. The transcript has 3 exons. Lineage: Eukaryota; Metazoa; Arthropoda; Insecta; Coleoptera; Tenebrionidae.